UAGGGUUUGAUUAUGUCUCAAAACAAACGCUGCCGCCAGUCUUAACACAUGCAAGUCGAGCGCUCUCUUCGGAGUGAGCGGCGGACGGUUUAGUAACGCGUGGUACCGUGCCCUUUUUCUAAGAAAUAGCCACUGCAAACGGAGAGUAACACCGUUAUACGCCCUUCGGGGGAAAGAUUUAUCGAAGAAGGUCCGGCCCGCGUUAUAUUAAAUCGUUGGUGGGGUAACGCCCUACCAAGUCUACAAUCUAUAGCUGGUUUUAGAGGAGGAUCAGCAACGCUGGAACUGAGACACGGCCCAGACUCUUACGGCAGCCAGAAGUGCGUAAUCUUGAACAAUGGGCGCAAGCCUAAUCCACCCAUGCCGAGUGAUUAAUAAAGGCCCUGGGGUCGGAAAGCUCUUUCGCAAGAGAUGAUACUGACAGUGUCUGGAACAGAAACCCGGGAUAACUCAGUGCUAACUCCGGCGGUAGUACGGAGGGGGUUAGCUCUUUUUCGGAAUUACGGGGCGUAAAGCUCACUUAGGCUCUAUCAGAAGGUUUGAGGUGAAACCCCCGGGGGCUAACCCCCGAAACUGCCUUGAAAACUCCCGGUUCUUGAGUUCAAAGAGAGGUGAGUGGAAUUCCCGAGUGAAGAGGUAAAAUUCAGAGACUUUCGGAGGAACACCAGUUUGCGAAAGGUGUCUCAAUUGGCUCGAAUACUGACGCAUGAGGUGCGAAAUUUGUGGCGGAGCAAACUCGGAAUAAGAUACCCCGGCUAGUCCACCCGUAAACGAAUCAAUUGCAAACACGUUAGCAAGCAUGCUUUGCUGGCUGACACACCUAAAGGUAUUAACGCCUUCCCGCCUGGAGUAGUACCGGCCCCCAAGAUUAAAAACUCAAAGGGAAUUGGACGGGGGGCCCCCAACAAGGGGUGGAACCCUGGGGGUUUUAAUUUCGAAACAACCGGGAAAGAACCCUUAACAACCCCUUUGAAAUCCCUCGGAACCGCCA
RNAcentral lists this ribosomal RNA (991 nucleotides) under uncultured Phaeobacter sp. RNAcentral describes it as "bacterial SSU rRNA". It matches the Rfam family "Bacterial small subunit ribosomal RNA", at positions 1 to 1002 of the family's 1533-position model. Lineage: Bacteria; Pseudomonadati; Pseudomonadota; Alphaproteobacteria; Rhodobacterales; Roseobacteraceae. The record is from RNAcentral.